This 461-nucleotide ribosomal RNA is filed under the name uncultured bacterium. RNAcentral's name for it is "bacterial SSU rRNA". It matches the Rfam family "Bacterial small subunit ribosomal RNA", at positions 30 to 507 of the family's 1533-position model. The record is from RNAcentral.
AUUGAACGCUGGCGGCAUGCCUUACACAUGCAAGUCGAACGGCAGCACGGGUGCUUGCACCUGGUGGCGAGUGGCGAACGGGUGAGUAAUAUAUCGGAACGUACCUUAUCGUGGGGGAUAACGCAGCGAAAGCUGCGCUAAUACCGCAUACGCCCUGAGGGGGAAANCGGGGGACCGUAAGGCCUCGCGCGAUUUAGAGCGGCCGAUAUCUGAUUAGCUUGUUGGUGGGUAAAAGCCCACCAAGGCGACGAUCAGUAGCUGGUCUGAGAGGACGAUCAGCCACACUGGGACUGAGACACGGCCCAGACUCCUACGGGAGGCAGCAGUGGGGAAUAUUGGACAAUGGGCGCAAGCCUGAUCCAGCAAUUCCGCGUGGGUGAAGAAGGUCUUCGGAUUGUAAAGCCCUUUCGUUGGGGACGAUGAUGACGGUACCCAAAGAAGAAGCCCCGGCUAACUUCGUG